CUGGCGGCGUGCCUAACACAUGCAAGUCGAGCGAGGAGAUCCUCGGGAUGAUCCUAGCGGCGGACGGGUGAGUAACACGUGGGCAACCUGCCUCAUAGAGAGGAAUAGCCUUCCGAAAGGGAGAUUAAUACCUCAUAACAUUGCAGUUUCGCAUGAAACAGCAAUUAAAGGAGCAAUCCGCUAUGAGAUGGGCCCGCGGCGCAUUAGCUAGUUGGUGAGGUAACGGCUCACCAAGGCGACGAUGCGUAGCCGACCUGGGAGGGUGAUCGGCCACAUUGGGACUGAGACACGGCCCAGACUCCUACGGGAGGCAGCAGUGGGGAAUAUUGCACAAUGGGGGAAACCCUGAUGCAGCCAACGCCGCGUGAGUGAUGACGGCCUUCGGGUUGUAAAGCUCUGUCUUCAGGGACGAUAAUGACGGUACCUGAGGAGGAAGCCACGGCUAACUACGUGCCAGCAGCUGC
RNAcentral lists this ribosomal RNA (464 nucleotides) under uncultured bacterium. RNAcentral describes it as "bacterial SSU rRNA". It matches the Rfam family "Bacterial small subunit ribosomal RNA", at positions 36 to 518 of the family's 1533-position model. The record is from RNAcentral.